GACGAACGCUGGCGGUGUGCUUAACACAUGCAAGUCGAACGGUAAGGCCCUUUCGGGGGUACACGAGUGGCGAACGGGUGAGUAACACGUGAGUAACCUGCCCUCAUCUCUGGGAUAACAGUCGGAAACGGUUGCUAAUACUGGAUAUGAGCUUGCAAGGCAUCUUGUGGGUUGGAAAGAUUUUUUUUGGUUGGGGAUGGACUCGCGGCCUAUCAGCUUGUUGGUGAGGUAGUGGCUCACCAAGGCUUCGACGGGUAGCCGGCCUGAGAGGGCGACCGGCCACAUUGGGACUGAGAUACGGCCCAAACUCCUACGGGAGGCAGCAGUGGGGAAUAUUGCACAAUGGACGGAAGUCUGAUGCAGCAACGCCGCGUGCGGGAUGACGGCCUUCGGGUUGUAAACCGCUUUCAAUUGUGAAGAAGCUUUUUUGUGACAGUAGCAGUAGAAGAAGCACCGGCUAACUACGUG
This 468-nucleotide ribosomal RNA is filed under the name uncultured bacterium. RNAcentral's name for it is "partial 16S ribosomal RNA". It matches the Rfam family "Bacterial small subunit ribosomal RNA", at positions 28 to 507 of the family's 1533-position model. The record is from RNAcentral.